Molecule: ribosomal RNA, 495 nt
Filed under: uncultured bacterium
Lineage: Bacteria
Description: partial 16S ribosomal RNA
Rfam family: Bacterial small subunit ribosomal RNA
Source: RNAcentral
GACGAACGCUGGCGGCGUGCCUAAUACAUGCAAGUAGAACGCUGAAGGAGGAGCUUGCUUCUCUGGAUGAGUUGCGAACGGGUGAGUAACGCGUAGGUAACCUGCCUGGUAGCGGGGGAUAACUAUUGGAAACGAUAGCUAAUACCGCAUAAGAGUAGAUGUUGCAUGACAUUUGCUUAAAAGGUGCAAUUGCAUCACUACCAGAUGGACCUGCGUUGUAUUAGCUAGGUGGUGAGGUAACGGCUCACCAAGGCAACGAUACAUAGCCGACCUGAGAAGGUGGUCGGCCACAAUGGGACUGAGACACGGCCCAGACUCCUACGGGAAGGAGCAGUAGGGAAUCUUCGGCAAUGGACGGAAGUCUGACCGAACAACGCCGCGUGAGUGAAGAAGGUUUUCGGAUCGUAAAGCUCUGUUGUAAGGGAAGGACGAGUGUGGGAGUGGAAAGUUCACACUGUGACGGUAUCUUACCAGAAAGGGACGGCUAACUACGUG